CCCGCACAAGCAGCGGAGCGUGUGGUUUAAUUCGAUGCUACACGAAGAACCUUACCAAGGCUGACAUGCCACAGUAGGAACUCGAAAGAGGGACCACCUGUAUCCAGUCAGGAUGUGGCACAGGUGCUGCAUGGCUGUCGUCAGCUCGUGCCGUGAGGUGUAGGUUAAGUCCUGCAACGAGCGCAACCCUUGUCGCUAGUUAAUUUCUCUAGCGAGACUGCCCGUAAAACGAGGAGGAAGGUGAGGAUGACGUCAAGUCAGCACGGCCCUUACGCCUUGGGCUACACACACGCUACAAUGGAUGAUACAACGGGUUGCUAAGGAGCGAUCCGGCGCCAAUCCCCAAAAUCAUCCUCAGUUCAGAUUGUAGGCUGAAACUGCCUGCAUGAAGGCGGAGUUGCUAGUAACCGCAGGUCAGCAUACUGCGGUGAAUACGUUCUCGGGCCUU
Molecule: ribosomal RNA, 448 nt
Filed under: uncultured Chloroflexota bacterium
Lineage: Bacteria; Bacillati; Chloroflexota
Description: bacterial SSU rRNA
Rfam family: Bacterial small subunit ribosomal RNA
Source: RNAcentral